GCACCUGGAACUCUGGCCUAAGGCUCUCUGACUGACUUCUUCCCAGAUCUUCUCAGCUUAGUGGCUGAAGACUGACACUGCCCGAUCGCCUUGGAAGCCUACAGGACCAUCACAGACGCUUUGGGUGACUUACAGUGGAGGGAAGACAGGAAUGUCAGGCCUCUGAGCCCAAGCUAAGUCAUCAUAUCCCCUGUGACCUGCACGUAUACAUCCAGAUGGCCUGAAGCAACUGAGGAUUCACAAAAGAAGUGAAAAUGGCCUUAAUUGAUGACAUUCCACCAUUGUGAUUUGUUCCUGCCUCACCCUAACUGAUAAGAUAUAGUCUCCCCCCGCCCUUAAAAAGGUACUUUGUAAUAUUCUCCCCCGC
This 367-nucleotide long non-coding RNA is filed under the name Homo sapiens (human). The record is from RNAcentral. Lineage: Eukaryota; Metazoa; Chordata; Mammalia; Primates; Hominidae.